AGCGAACGCUGGCGGCAGGCUUAACACAUGCCAGUCGAGCGGGCACUUCGGUGUCAGCGGCAGACGGGUGAGUAACACGUGGGAACGUACCCUUUGGUUCGGAAUAACGCUGGGAAACUAGCGCUAAUACCGGAUACGCCCUUUUGGGGAAAGGCUUGCUGCCGAAGGAUCGGCCCGCGUCUGAUUAGCUAGUUGGUGGGGUAAUGGCCUACCAAGGCGACGAUCAGUAGCUGGUCUGAGAGGAUGAUCAGCCACACUGGGACUGAGACACGGCCCAGACUCCUACGGGAGGCAGCAGUGGGGAAUAUUGGACAAUGGGCGCAGGCCUGAUCCAGCCAUGCCGCGUGAGUGAUGAAGGCCUUAGGGUUGUAAAGCUCUUUUGUCCGGGACGAUAAUGACGGUACCGGAAGAAUAAGCCCCGGCUAACUUCGUG
RNAcentral lists this ribosomal RNA (433 nucleotides) under uncultured bacterium. RNAcentral's name for it is "partial 16S ribosomal RNA". It matches the Rfam family "Bacterial small subunit ribosomal RNA", at positions 29 to 507 of the family's 1533-position model. The record is from RNAcentral.